UCCCUGGUGGCUCAGACAGUAAAGAAUCUGCCUGCAAUGCAGAAGACCCAGGUUCGAUCCCUGGGUCGGGAA
Molecule: transfer RNA, 72 nt
Filed under: Ovis aries (sheep)
Lineage: Eukaryota; Metazoa; Chordata; Mammalia; Artiodactyla; Bovidae
Rfam family: tRNA
About the family: Transfer RNA (tRNA) molecules are approximately 80 nucleotides in length.
Source: Rfam by way of RNAcentral